CAGCCCGCUUUUAAGGUGAGCUUUCUCUAGCUGCUUUCUCCUCUUUUGAUUCCUUUUCUCUCCUCCUCACAUCCUGCACGAGGGGGGGGGGGGGUGCAGCAGAGAUGGGAACAGCUAACUUCACAUCAGAAAACGGAGCAUCAGGAAUUGUCGGGCUUUCAACAUGCCCACUAUAAAUGAAGCAGACAAUACCAGGCAAAAAUAGUGGAACUGACACAUGCAAACAACUGUGUGGACCAAAAGGAGUCUGAAGUAAAGAAUCAGAGGUCCAAUGGAAGAACUGAAACGGGGACUUAGCCAAAAGGAAGAGUGAGGCACCUUAUGUAGAGAAGAGAUUGAUAUUGUCCUUCUACCAGAACAUCUCCCAGAUUCAAGGAACUCCCUUUAGCCUUUCUCCAGCGGUGAGGAGAGUCUUCCUAUCCCCUCAUUUCUGAAGGACAUCUUUGCAAGGGCUGAUCAUAUUUCAGGACAUAAUUGGACACGACGGUAGAAGAGUACAAGAGUGGAACUGAGUAAGAGUUGAGAUCCAGAACUCAGUACAUGCUCGGAUGGAGGUGAAGAAUAUUGAGCUUUAUCACAGAUUUAUCCACAUGUGCUUCCAAAGAGAAAGAAACACUGGCACUAAAGCACAGCCACUUGGAAAGUUAUUAUGGCUUUGGUUGCUAAGACAGAAAUAGAGCCUUUGGAGAAAUGAUUGGUUCAAAUCAUUGGGAAUGUAAUUUUCAUCAUUGCAUUCACUAAAAGGCUCACUUAGAGAAAAUGGCCUCCCAGUUUCCAAAAAUACAGUUUCCUUAAAAUGGGAAUAUCUCAGAUCUGAUCUUUGUGGGUAUUAAACCAAUUUACUUAUAAGCAAAAAUUAUACCUUUUGCCCUAAACAAAUUUAAUUCACAGAUUGAGUUAUUUAGCUGAGAUAUACUCCUAUUAGUUUCAUUAAUCUUAUUGACAAUUACAUUGUCACCUUAGUUCAUUAGAAAAGUUUAUAGACCUCAAAGGUCUAGGGGUGCCUGGGUGGCUCAGUCGGUUGAGCAUCUGACUUCAGCUCAGGUCAUGAUCUCAUACUCUGUGAAUUCA
Molecule: long non-coding RNA, 1071 nt
Organism: Leopardus geoffroyi (Geoffroy's cat)
Lineage: Eukaryota; Metazoa; Chordata; Mammalia; Carnivora; Felidae
Exons: 6
Source: RefSeq, a predicted model, not a curated record